GAUGAACGCUGGCGGCGUGCCUAAUACAUGCAAGUCGAGCGAAUGGAUUAAGAGCUUGCUCUUAUGAAGUUAGCGGCGGACGGGUGAGUAACACGUGGGUAACCUGCCCAUAAGACUGGGAUAACUCCGGGAAACCGGGGCUAAUACCGGAUAACAUUUUGAACCGCAUGGUUCGAAAUUGAAAGGCGGCUUCGGCGGUCACUUAUGGAUGGACCCGGGUCGCAUUAGCUAGUUGGUGAGGUAACGGCUCACCAAGGCAACGAUGCGUAGCCGACCUGAGAGGGUGAUCGGCCAUACUGGGACUGAGACACGGCCCAGACUCCUACGGGAGGCAGCAGUAGGGAAUCUUCCGCAAUGGACGAAAGUCUGACGGAGCAACGCCGCGUGAGUGAUGAAGGCUUUCGGGUCGUAAAACUCUGUUGUUAGGGAAGAACAAGUGCUAGUUGAAUAAGCUGGCACCUUGACGGUACCUAACCAGAAAGCCACGGCUAACUACGUGCCAGCAGCCGCAGUAA
RNAcentral lists this ribosomal RNA (515 nucleotides) under uncultured bacterium. RNAcentral describes it as "partial 16S ribosomal RNA". It matches the Rfam family "Bacterial small subunit ribosomal RNA", at positions 28 to 523 of the family's 1533-position model. The record is from RNAcentral.